RNAcentral lists this ribosomal RNA (1118 nucleotides) under Escherichia coli. RNAcentral describes it as "partial 23S ribosomal RNA". It matches the Rfam family "Bacterial large subunit ribosomal RNA", at positions 614 to 1735 of the family's 2925-position model. The record is from RNAcentral. Lineage: Bacteria; Pseudomonadati; Pseudomonadota; Gammaproteobacteria; Enterobacterales; Enterobacteriaceae.
AAUGGGUCAGCGACUUAUAUUCUGUAGCAAGGUUAACCGAAUAGGGGAGCCGAAGGGAAACCGAGUCUUAACUGGGCGUUAAGUUGCAGGGUAUAGACCCGAAACCCGGUGAUCUAGCCAUGGGCAGGUUGAAGGUUGGGUAACACUAACUGGAGGACCGAACCGACUAAUGUUGAAAAAUUAGCGGAUGACUUGUGGCUGGGGGUGAAAGGCCAAUCAAACCGGGAGAUAGCUGGUUCUCCCCGAAAGCUAUUUAGGUAGCGCCUCGUGAAUUCAUCUCCGGGGGUAGAGCACUGUUUCGGCAAGGGGGUCAUCCCGACUUACCAACCCGAUGCAAACUGCGAAUACCGGAGAAUGUUAUCACGGGAGACACACGGCGGGUGCUAACGUCCGUCGUGAAGAGGGAAACAACCCAGACCGCCAGCUAAGGUCCCAAAGUCAUGGUUAAGUGGGAAACGAUGUGGGAAGGCCCAGACAGCCAGGAUGUUGGCUUAGAAGCAGCCAUCAUUUAAAGAAAGCGUAAUAGCUCACUGGUCGAGUCGGCCUGCGCGGAAGAUGUAACGGGGCUAAACCAUGCACCGAAGCUGCGGCAGCGACACUAUGUGUUGUUGGGUAGGGGAGCGUUCUGUAAGCCUGUGAAGGUGUGCUGUGAGGUAUGCUGGAGGUAUCAGAAGUGCGAAUGCUGACAUAAGUAACGAUAAAGCGGGUGAAAAGCCCGCUCGCCGGAAGACCAAGGGUUCCUGUCCAACGUUAAUCGGGGCAGGGUGAGUCGACCCCUAAGGCGAGGCCGAAAGGCGUAGUCGAUGGGAAACAGGUUAAUAUUCCUGUACUUGGUGUUACUGCGAAGGGGGGACGGAGAAGGCUAUGUUGGCCGGGCGACGGUUGUCCCGGUUUAAGCGUGUAGGCUGGUUUUCCAGGCAAAUCCGGAAAAUCAAGGCUGAGGCGUGAUGACGAGGCACUACGGUGCUGAAGCAACAAAUGCCCUGCUUCCAGGAAAAGCCUCUAAGCAUCAGGUAACAUCAAAUCGUACCCCAAACCGACACAGGUGGUCAGGUAGAGAAUACCAAGGCGCUUGAGAGAACUCGGGUGAAGGAACUAGGCAAAAUGGUGCCGUAACU